AACGCAUCUUGCACCCCCUGGUAUUCCAGGGGGUAUGCCUGUUUGAGUGUCAUUAUUCAAUCUCAAUGCAAUGGAAGUGUCUGCUCGGUGUUUCCUUGCAUUGGAUAAUGAAGGUUGCUGGGUACCACCAGCUUCUUUGAAAUGCAUUAGCAGUAAAUAAGCAGAGUCGGCUUCGGUUUGAUAUGAUCUAUGCUGUUGCCGUCGGAGCUUCAUGUUCUGCUGACUUGUCUUUGUAUGAGACUGUCCAUCCAGUGGACACUUUAUGUAGCUUGACCUCAAAUCAGGUAGGAUCACCCGCUGAACUUAA
This 307-nucleotide unclassified non-coding RNA is filed under the name uncultured fungus. Its description in RNAcentral is "partial contains 5.8S ribosomal RNA, internal transcribed spacer 2, and large subunit ribosomal RNA". The stretch from base 1 to 52 matches the Rfam family "5.8S ribosomal RNA", at positions 103 to 154 of the family's 154-position model. The record is from RNAcentral. Lineage: Eukaryota; Fungi.